This 253-nucleotide ribosomal RNA is filed under the name uncultured bacterium. RNAcentral's name for it is "partial 16S ribosomal RNA". It matches the Rfam family "Bacterial small subunit ribosomal RNA", at positions 524 to 776 of the family's 1533-position model. The record is from RNAcentral.
GACGAACCGUCCAAACGUUGUUCGGAAUCACUGGGCUUAAAGGGCGCGUAGGCGGACUGCCAAGUCCGGGGUGAAAUCUUUCGGCUUAACCGGAAAAGGGCCUUGGAAACUGGCGGUCUCGAGGGAGGUAGGGGCCUGUGGAACUUCGGGUGGAGCGGUGAAAUGCGUUGAUAUCCGAAGGAACGCCGGUGGCGAAAGCGACGUGCUGGAUCUCUUCUGACGCUGAGGCGCGAAAGCUAGGGGAGCGAACGGG